GAAGUAGGCAAGAUGGUCGUUUCAGCACGAUCGCUUUUUUGGGUUUUUGCUGGAGAGGAAAGUCCGAGCUCCACAGGGCACAGUGCUCCGUAACGCGGAGUGGGAGUAAUCCUAAGGAAAGUACCACAGAAAAUAUACCGCCCUGCGGGAGACACAGAGAUGGGUCCCUCACAGGGUAAGGGUGAAAAGGUGGGGCCGUAGUGGCUUAAUGUAAGAGCCCACCACUUCCCGGGUGAUCGGGAAGGUAUGGCAAACCCCACUGGGAGAAAGGCUAAAUUGUGAGGCAUAAGCGGCCCGUUUCAGCGCCUCCGGGUAAGCCGAUUGACCUUAAUGGCAACAUUGAGGCAAGAUAAAUGAUCAUCUCAAACAGAACUCGGCUUAUUGCCUGCUUCCGCU
RNAcentral lists this RNase P RNA (396 nucleotides) under Planctomycetota bacterium. RNAcentral's name for it is "Planctomycetes bacterium (bioreactor metagenome) RNase P RNA component class A". It matches the Rfam family "Bacterial RNase P class A". Rfam says of the family: Ribonuclease P (RNase P) is a ubiquitous endoribonuclease, found in archaea, bacteria and eukarya as well as chloroplasts and mitochondria. Its best characterised activity is the generation of mature 5'-ends of tRNAs by cleaving the 5'-leader elements of precursor-tRNAs. Lineage: Bacteria; Pseudomonadati; Planctomycetota. RNAcentral also lists the same sequence under 3 other names. The record is from RNAcentral.